This 255-nucleotide ribosomal RNA is filed under the name uncultured bacterium. Its description in RNAcentral is "partial 16S ribosomal RNA". It matches the Rfam family "Bacterial small subunit ribosomal RNA", at positions 524 to 776 of the family's 1533-position model. The record is from RNAcentral.
CACGUAGGGGGCAAGCGUUGUCCGGAUUUAUUGGGCGUAAAGAGCUCGUAGGCGGCUUAGUAAGUCGGGUGUGAAACCUCCAGGCUCAACCUGGAGACGCCACCCGAUACUGCUGUGGCUAGAGUCCGGUAGGGGAGCGUGGAAUUCCUGGUGUAGCGGUGAAAUGCGCAGAUAUCAGGAGGAACACCAGCGGCGAAAAGCGGCGCACUGGACCACAACUGACGCUGAGGCGCGAAAGCUAGGGGAGCAAACAGG